GCCCCUCGGCUGUUCCUCUUCCUUCUCACUCCCGCCCCCCCGCCGUCGCUGGUAACCGGCCCUGUUUUCGUUACUCCCCCCCAGCAGGAAAGGGGCUGGGUUAAGCCGCCACCAAGAGUCCAGGCGCUCCAAGCGGCGUCCCUAUUUCCCUUCCGGAGAGGUGAGCGGAAAGGGUUGCUGCUCUCGACCCGGAGUUCAGGACGCGAAAGUUCAGGACGAGGGGCUGCUGCACCAUGGCUGGAUCCCUCGGCCUGUGGAUACUCUUGAGUUAUGUAAUCUUUGGAAAUGGACUUCAUUUGGAGAUUCUUGGCGGAAGGCAUGAGCAAGUAUUCCAUCAGAAGACCCUAAUCAGGCAAAAGCGAGAAUGGAUUGUCCCACCUUCCAUAAUCUGGGAAGAACGUGACAAUUCCAAGAAGAACCCAAUUGCUAAGAUUCGGUCUGACAAAGAUGUUGAACCAGGAGUAAUAAUUACUUACACCAUUUCUGGCCAAGGAGUCACAGAACCACCAUAUCAUUUGUUCGUGAUUAAUGGGAAAACUGGAGAAUUGAACAUAACUGGAAUAGUCGAUCGGGAACAAACACCAAUGUUACAUCUGAGAGGCUAUGCCCUGAAUCAAAGAGGUGAAAAUCUGGAAAGGCCACUGGAUCUGCGGAUUAAAGUUCAGGAUGUAAAUGACAAUAGCCCAGUGUUUUCACAAACAAGUUUCAGUGGUUCUGUUGAAGAAUUGUGUGAAGUGGGUACUCUUGUGCUGAAGAUAAAUGCAACUGAUGCAGAUGAGCCCAAUACACUCAACUCCAAAAUUGCUUUUAAGAUUGUUUCCCAAGAACCUAAUGAUCCUAAUGCAUUUGUCAUUAACAAAGCAACAGGCGAAGUUCGGACAGCAACAUUCCAGCUUGACAGAGAGCUACAUAAUAGUUAUUCCUUGGUUGUGGAAGCAAAAGACCGUGAUGGACAAGAAUAUGGGAAUGGUCAAGUGACUACUCUACAGAUCAAGAUUCUGGAUGUUAAUGACAACAUCCCUAAACUUAACAAGACUGUGUAUGAAGGAAGUGUAAAGGAGAAUAUAGCUAAUGUGGAAAUCAUGCGCCUGGAUGUCUUUGAUGGUGAUGAACAAUUUACUGAUAACUGGCUGGCAAACUUUAUGAUUGUGUCUGGCAAUGAAGGAGGCUACUUCCGUAUAGAAACAGAUUCACAAACCAACCAAGGAAUUCUUACUCUGAUUAAGGAAAUAAAUUAUGAAGAAUUGCGGACAAUGGACCUGAAGAUAGUAGUUUCUAACAAAGCAGCAUAUCACAAAUCAAUUAUUAGUCAAGUUUCCCAAGUAAAACCUAUUUCUGUCAAAAUUAAUGUGGAAAAUGUGAGGGAAGGCCCCGUAUUUAAGCCCCAAACGUUAGUGAUUAAGACAAGUGAAACAAUGAAAAUAAACCAGAUUAUUGGAAGCUAUCAAGCUUAUGAUGAAGACACUCAAAAAAUAGCAGAACGCAUCACGUAUGCCAAAGGAAGUGAUAUUGCAAAUUGGUUGAUAAUAAAUGCUAAGACAGCUGAAAUCAGACUACGUAAAAUUCUAGACUAUGAGUCACCCUAUGUCAUCAAUGGUACUUACACUGCAACAAUUUUGGCCAUAAGUACUGACUACCCUCCAAAAACAGCUACAGGUACCGUUGUGAUUCAGAUUGCAGACAAGAAUGAUUACUGCCCAAUUCUUGUGACUCAAGAAACAACUGUCUGCACUAAUACAGAGUAUAUUAAUAUCACUGUUGAGGAUCGAGAUAGACAUCCAAAUGGUGGUCCUUUCACUUUCAAGAUCAUUGAUGAAACUGAAAGAAUGUCAGACAAAUGGAGAAUUGGCCAGAUAGAUGGGCCCAGAGCUCAGCUUAUACUCCAGGGGGUGACACCUGGCACAUACAAAAUUCCUCUUUUAAUAAAAGAUAACCAAGGUUUCAGCUGUCCUGACCAACAAGUACUGAAGGUGGACGUUUGUGAUUGCAAGGAUGGCACUGGUUGCCAGAGUAGAAUUGUCGGCUCCUCCGUUUUUCUGGGACCCGCUGCAGUUGCGCUGAUGAUCUUGGCAUUUUUGCUGCUACUCCUCAUGCCUCUCUUACUGCUGGCCUGUGGCUUUGGGUCAGGCUUCGGAUCAGGCGGCGGAAAAGGAUUUGUAGCUAUACCUGACAGCAGUGAAGAAAUGUUGCGUAACUGGAACAGUGAAGGGGCAGCACCUGAAGAUAAGGCAAUCCUGAACCUCCUUACUUCCUCUGGAUCAGAAAAACUUGUGAGCAGUGGAGCAGCAGUCGUGGGAGCAGGAGCAGCAGGAGCAGCAGUAGGGAACAGCUUCUCCUCUACAAUCAAGGAGCAGAACAUGAGCAGCAACACGAUCACGAGAUGGCAGAGAGAAGACCGUGAAGCUCUUCUUUCUGAGGCAGAAUUUGCAGGUGCCUCAGCCACAGGGGCGGGCUUGACAGCAGGUGGGACAAUGCGGCUAGGAACUGGCAGAUCUUUAGCCAUGGAUACUGGCAUGAUCAUGAAUGAAGAAUUCUUACGGGGUUACUUCAGUGAGAAAGCUGAUGCUUUUGCUGAUGAGGAUGAAGUGCAGCUUGCCAAAGAUUGCCUACUCAUUUACUCCCAGGAGGAAGAGCACGAUUCCCCUCAUGGUUCAGUUGGCUGCUGUAGCUUUAUUGACGGUGACUUUGAUGAACAUUGCUUGGAUGACUUGGGAGACAAAUUUAAGACUCUGGCUGAGAUCUGCAUGGAUAAACACACAAGCCUAAAAGCAGAGCAGUUCAGCUCUCAAACCCAGAAAGAUACAAGUAAUCCUGCAAUGAAUGGAUCCGGUCUGCAGUCCUCCCAUUCUCCACUGCAGAAUGCAGUGAAUGCCAAACAUACUUAUUCAUCAGGGGCUGUCUACAAUCUAUCUGAACCUGUGAAAGGCUUUGGUUCAGAAACGAUGACUGAGAAAACAAUAACUGAGUCAACUGUUACAACUAAAUCUAACCUGAAGCCAGUGAAGCGAAUCCCAAACCCCUUGAUUAGCAGCAGCAGCAGCAAUGUUGUAGUGACAGAAACAUCAUAUGGGACGUUACCAUCAACAGUCAUCCGUGACCCUCAGUUGAAGGAGAAUGUGGUAGUGACAGAAAGGGUCCUUGCACCUGCUUCUAACUUGCAGGACAUGUUAGAAAUGCCAGCUGGUGUCUUCCCAGACCUCCCAGAUUCAAAAUAUGUUGUUGUGAGGGAAAGGGAGCGAGUCCUUGUGCCUAGUUCUGACUUAAAGGCUUCUGUAAGCAUCCCCAAUCUGUCAGAAGGACAGAAUAUAGUAAUAACUGAGAGAGUAGUGACACCAACUCCUGUUAGGCGAGCCACAACUGAAGCAGACACUUUUCCUAACAAUGAGAGGCAGGAACAGAUUUUAAUUUCUGACUCAUUCUUUAACCAAAGUAACCCACAGGAAAUGCUUCCCACAGGUUCAACCUUAAGCAAGUCCUCAAUGAUCAAAAAAAAAUAUAGCUCUGUUCAAUAUACACGCUCAUAGGUGGAUUUCCAUCCAUCACUUCAUAUGUACGAUUUAGCACUGGUAAGAUUGAUUUAUUGCCUUCUCAAGAGCUUGAAUAUGUUGUUCCACUUUCCUAAUGAUGCUUUUUAACAAUCCACAAGGAUGCAGCCUUAAAACCAUAUACUAGGUGCAAUUCCUCACUAUGUAAUGCAGGAUUUAUUUUUGAGAAGUUGCUCAUAAGAUAGUUCUAUUAAAGAGUUCCUGCAAGAAACUCUGAAGCUUACACAGCUAGAAAAGAAUAUUGUUUAUUGAAAGAGCAACAUAAAUUUCCAAAAUCAAUAUAUUUUUAGUCUGGUUGAUAGUCCAAUUGAAGUUAGUUCAGUAUUCAUUAUGCAGCAAAUUCUACUGGCCUGCACCAUGAACCUAAAUAUACUUAGAUUUUUUUCUAAUGAAUUCACUGCGUUUAUUGUUUCAACAAUGUUGAAACAUUGAUUCAACAAAUUUGAAUAUAUUGCAGUUUAAAAUUGACUUCAGAAGUGUAUUUUUAAAGAGUGCUGUAUUCACAAUCAGUUCCCGCUAAGUUUUGUGGGGUUUAUUUUUCAGUCAGUACAGUCAGAAUGCAGCCUUAAAACUACAAUUUUAACUGUUGAGUUAUUUGUUGUAUACAUAGGGAGCAUUCCUAUUCUUUAAAAGAAUGGAUCUCAUUUCAUUUUUUUAAAAAUAAGCUCUAUAGAUUUUUAUGAAUUCUUUACCAAUAGAACAUGAGUGAAACACGGUUUUAUUUCUUGUAAUUUAUAUAUCCUUUUCGAGAUGAAUUAGUUUAUCUGUGUGGUUGGUUCAGAUAUUGUAUUUGAACAAGGUAAUACAUUUCUGAAGGCAGAAUUCCAUCCAGUGUGUGUUUUUUCCCCCAGAUGCCAGAUAUCACAGAAUCCUAACAUCAAAAAAAUUAACAUUUGUCAAUCUCAAGAUUUCUGCCAUUUAAAUAAAUAAAUGUUUACUUUUUUAAAAAAAAUUAGGUUCUGCACUCUGAGUUGCCUUUUCUGCCCAACAAUCUGUUGGAGACCCCUGUCCUAUUGGACAGGCCCAAUCUGUUUGUGAAAGGGAGAUUCCCUAAACAUGAUUCCCAAGGGUUUUCUUCAAGUCUGCUGAUCCCUCCCUCUUGGGAAGUGUGGUUUUAUUAGAUAAGAAUCAGCCUGAGGAAUGUGCUUUUGCUUCCUUUGCAUGUGAAAUAGGUUCCUGUGUUGAGCAAUAGGAGAUACCGUGUUUCCCCAUUGGGUCUUAUUUUCAGGGAAACCCGGUACUAAAUGUGUCCGUCUGGCUGAUGAUCUUAACUGGGGCUUAUUUUGCGGGGGUAGGACUUAUAUUACAAGCAUCCUAAAAAAUCAUGAAAAAUAAUGGCUUCCCUUAUUUUCAGGGAAACAUGGUAAACACCUGGAAACUGGGUCAAUUUUAAAAAAUGUAUCCAGUGUGAAAUGGUCUUAUUGAUCUUAGGGGAAGGAGAGAAUUCAACCUUGAUGUCUCUUUAAUACUUUUGUACCGUGGAUAUUUUUUUUUUGUUUCAUACACUUUGUAAAGGCUUAAUCUAAAUAAUGACCGUUACAUAUUUGAGUUGGCUAUUCUAGUACAUAUGUCUGUUGAAUAAUAUGAGAAGAAAGUAUAAUACACAUGUUUACGUUUUGGGAGUGAAUAAGGCAUACAUAUAAAGGGAAUAGAUGUCUGCUUAUUUUAAAUUUUCCUUUUUAAAUCCAUAGUUUUGUCUAUGGCUAUUGUAUAUGAUCCUGUGUUGUAGGGAAUUUAAGCCACUUCAGUAGUCCACAAUGGAUUUACGGUUAUUGCCAUAUUUUUCUCAUCUGGUAUGGGAAUGCAACCUGCUUGAUUUCAAAGUGUAAUAAUGAUUUCAGGGUUCUUAGCUUUCAUUUUAUAUAACAACUUUACUGUUUAAAUACUAGUUUUGUCGUCAAGGAAUGGGCUGGAUAUGCUGGCAUUUUUUAAUGGAAUUUGAAAUAAAACCAAAAAAACGA
Ahaetulla prasina is the source of this 5506-nucleotide RNA transcript. It is a transcript of the gene named desmoglein-2-like, with no coding region annotated. The transcript has 16 exons. The record is from RefSeq and is a predicted model, not a curated record. Lineage: Eukaryota; Metazoa; Chordata; Lepidosauria; Squamata; Colubridae.